UUCUCUCAGCCGUUCCAUCUUCCUAAACAUCUUUAGGGUUUUUUACAUUGCAGCCGCCUGUUCUUCUCCGUGUUCAAUCUUUCAUCUCAAUGGUACACACUCAAAACCCUAGCGCCUCCCUCACUUUUUCUGCAGAUCCAUAUGUUGGAAUGGAAGAGUUUCACAAUCACGAAACCCUAGCCCUCAUCAUCUUCCCUGUUUUGAUUCAAGAAGCUAGGGUUUGUGGUUUUGGUUGUUAAGGGAUCGUAGCUUCUUGCGUAAAGUACUAAAGUGUUGAAAACAAGAAAAUCAGAUCCACUAAAGGAUGUAAUAUUGGGCUGCUGGUUUUAGUGAUCUAAGCCCCUCAGAAAUUGAUUGCCCCCCAAACAAACGCAGGGAUGAUCCCAAUGAGGUUUGUGAAUAAAGAUGGUUACAAUUAAUCCAAAAGAGUAUUCUUUGCAUACAAGCUGUGUGAGUUAGCAAGAAGUGGCGUGCCACCUUAUAUUGGCCCUAAUGUGUGGAGGCUUCUCUUGAUUUAACCAUCAAAUUGUACAAAAGUGCCCUUCUGAUGCUAGAGCAUUCAAAAAGUAUGGAUUUAGAUGACAAAAUAUUGGAGAAGACUUUGAUAGACCUGGCGGAGUUGCUUCAUGUUGUAGGAUGGUAUGAUUUAUAUGUCCUAGAUUUUUCACACUUACAGGUCAAUAUUCAGGUUGUAAUUUAUUGAUAACGGGUCAAGCAUGUCUUAUGUAGAAAAGUAGAUGAUAAUGAAAUGGGUCAACAAUUCGGAUGAGUGUAAAAUGGGCUGAAAGUUACCAAACUUGUAUUUAAAUGAUAUCUUUUAAGUCAUCUUAUUUAAAAGAGUUUAUCUUAUGGUUAAAAUCAUAGCUUUGU
RNAcentral lists this long non-coding RNA (870 nucleotides) under Helianthus annuus (common sunflower). Lineage: Eukaryota; Viridiplantae; Streptophyta; Magnoliopsida; Asterales; Asteraceae. The record is from RNAcentral.